GAUGAAGAACGUAGCGAAAUGUGAUAAAUAAUGUGAAUUGCAGAAUUCAGUGAAUCAUCGAGUCUUUGAACGCACAUUGCGCCCCCUGGUAUUCCGGGGGGCAUGCCUGUCCGAGCGUCAUUGCUGCCCUCAAGCACGGCUUGUGUGUUGGGCCCCCGUCCCCCCCUCCCGGGGGACGGGCCCGAAAGGCAGCGGCGGCACCGCGUCCGGUCCUCGAGCGUAUGGGGCUUUGUCACCCGCUCUGUAGGCCCGGCCGGCGCCUGCCGACCACCAUCAAUCUUUUUUCAGGUUGACCUCGGAUCAGGUAGGGAUACCCGCUGAACUUAAGCAUAUCAAUAAGCGGAGGA
RNAcentral lists this unclassified non-coding RNA (347 nucleotides) under soil metagenome. Its description in RNAcentral is "partial contains 5.8S ribosomal RNA, internal transcribed spacer 2, and large subunit ribosomal RNA". The stretch from base 1 to 120 matches the Rfam family "5.8S ribosomal RNA", at positions 35 to 154 of the family's 154-position model. The record is from RNAcentral.